GCUCCCUGCCAACCUAGCGAACGCCGCCUUCUUCACCUCCACCUUUCCUUUGACUACUUCGUUCCACCACCAAUCACCCUGAUGUCUGCCUGAAUAUCCCUUGGCUACCCCGAGCACGUCCCGUGUUACCCCCCUAUCCAAAUUCGCCGUCACUGUCCACAUAGCGUCCGCUUCCCCAGAACUUCUCCAAGCUCCGCCCUCAACUAACCUCCUUUCUAACUCCUGUGCUUUCUCCUUAGUCAAAGCACCCCAUCUAAUCCGCGGUUGUCCCCGAGCGCCC
RNAcentral lists this long non-coding RNA (280 nucleotides) under Nicotiana benthamiana. RNAcentral describes it as "long non-coding RNA (NBEN_LNC039494)". Lineage: Eukaryota; Viridiplantae; Streptophyta; Magnoliopsida; Solanales; Solanaceae. The record is from RNAcentral.